GGAGGACUGAAAGCAUUACUGACUGUUGUGUGAAUAGAACUGCAAUCAAUAUCUGGUUAAUAUUUGCCAUAUGUGAUGUGGAAUAUGCUUUUGUGAUAGCUGAAAACUAACAAGACUGUUUACAGAGCAGAGAGGGUUAAGUGAGCCACCCUUUCUCCCUUUUUUUCCCAGCUAAGAGAACUGUGUUUACGCUCCCUGACAUCAAGACUGGCUGUGACCUCAGCUGUCAGAGAUUAGUUGAGUUUUUAUUUGCUCUUGAUGGGUGAAUGCAGACAGAGACAAACCGUCCAGUCUCAAGUGGACAGAAAAUAGAGACAUGGGUUCUCUACUAUAGCAGUUAUGUGUCACUGUCCCACAUAGCAGGUAAUGAAGGGCGAGAUAAUGAGGGGAGUAAUUUCGCUCCUGACUUUUAAGGUGUCAGGUUGCUUUGUACAAGACAGGUAUGUAAGCACUCCAAAAUCCCUCUGAGAUAUUUGUCAUCAAAAUACUUUGUGAAGCAUGAAGAUGGCCGUAAGUGUUUGACCGAGGAACAGUUUGAAGGGACAGGUCUGGCAAACUUGGGGAAAAUGCUGGGCCCAUGCACCAGAACACAUGAUUACCUAACAAGGGUCUGAGAGAGGCCAGGGCUGCUCACAGGUAUCCUCCAACAUGGUUAAUUGGCUGCUUGAUAUAUACAUACUGAAUAUGGGCAACAGCAGCUAUGGGUCUGGUGAUAUGUCAUGUGAACUCUCUGAUAUGAGUUCUUUGAAGUAGGGAAAUCAGACCAGUGGUUUCAGAAGACCCUUGUGAAUGAAAAAUAAUAAAAUCAGUGUUCACACUGAAGUGCUGCACAUCUGUCUGGGAACACUGGUGACCACCUAGUGCUGGCUGCAAGGCAUCUUGGGCAAGUGGUCUGACCCAGUGUCGUUCCCAGUGUCCUCAACGUUUUUAUCACAUCAUGAUUUCUUCCUCUGUUCUCCAAGUGUAGCUUAAAGGCUGGUCUUACACCAGUAGGUCUCUCUUCCGCAGUGAUAAGAUAUAAAGGACUAAAUCAUGGGGCAUGAGUAACAACAUUUUUAUUUCUAAUGGAAGAGUAAGUGACAAAUUUUAGAGAAAUGUUGUAAGAGGAGAUAUUUCAGUACUUGUGAAAUUAUGGAGUUUUAUGCAAAUAAAUUAGCAGAGAAGGCGGAUUUCGUUUUGUAUAACACUGAUAGACUUCAAAAGAAUUUUUCAGAAUCUCAUGACUUUUCAGUGCUCCUUUCUCUGUAACUGGGACAGAAGAGUAAUUCAAUCAGAAGAUUAUGUCUGUUGGUUUAAUAUGCAGACUAUGGUUGCAGAAAAGCGUUUAUGUCCUUACGCACUGGACAUCUGGAAACAUUCCCCUGCCACAUUUUAUUAGAACAUUGAAAUCACCUCAUUAAAUGAUAUGGAGAGGUUCCGAAAGCAGGGUAAUUGUUGGGAGAUCAAUCACAGAUUAAGCUUCCCAUGCCAUUUUAAUAUGUUCUCAUUCAUUGCCACAGACACUCAAUCUGACCAUUGAUUUUCAUCAAAGACUUCCAGGUUUUCUGAGCCUUCUCCUGGUGAAAUGACCUCCUGCAGCACUUUCUUUCUUGAACAAACAACCUGAUAAGCAAUGAAGCACAUAUGCCAAAUUGCUAUUUUAAUAUUGUUUUUUCUCUUGAAGUCUAAAUAGUAGAACUGGGUCUGGAUAGAAAAAUCUCAGUCGUUUAUUCACACCUAUCCUCUCCAGUCCCUGCUGUUGUGAUGAAUCUUCCUGAAUGGUCCAGGCUCUCAUCAGUGGUGUAGUUCCACAACUGAGAGGAAACCAGCUGUUGACCAAGGCAUUAGUGGGAAGGAUGAAGCUGUUAGUUCAAUGGGGAAUAUUUCAAUGCUGGAAGAUUCUGAGCAGGGUUGCAGACAAAAGAUUUCUGAGAAAGAAUUACAAAAUAGGAAUCUUGCUUGGUUUACCACAAAGGUGAUGGGACAGAGUGGGCAAAACUGAAGAAAAACACAUUAUCUUUGAUGAGAGGAAAAUAUUCCCAACGUGUCCCCUGUAUCAUAUGCCCAGUAUUUAUAUGCUGGACUUCACAGUAUGUGGCAAAGGUUUUUGCUUCAAAACUAUGAAUUUGAUGAACCUAUAUAUGUCCUCUUUUCUUGUGAACCAGGAUACUAGCAAGAACUAUUCAUCAAUUUAAUUUUCAUUCACAUUUCAACCCCUGUUUCUGUCCCAGUCCAAUACAAUGGUGUCUGGUUUUAUCCCUCCCUGUUACAACUGUAAAUAGAAAGCAGACAGGAAGUCAAGGCCAUUGACAAAAAGCAGGAGGAGGAGAAGAAAAAGCCCUAAGAAAAUGACAGACAUACACAGCACGCUCUGACCUCACCAUAACGAGGACGCUUGUAAAGACUUGCGUCCGUGGAUCAUUUCCGCCUGCCAUAUGGGGUGUUUGUUCUACACAGUAAACAAGGAUCACAGUGUUUGAGUUUUAGUCAAAUAGACUUUGGAUACAUUUUCAUAACUGAACUGGGAUGGCUUUAGUACUGUGCAGUAGCUCUCAGUGCUUUUCAUUUCUCUUAGUCAUGGCUUUUUAAAGGUUGUGUGACUAUUGACAACUGUGGGAGGUAGUCUCAUGUCACUUUUUCCUUGCCUAUCUGGUCACUCAAAAGAGAGAGCUUUUUUUUCACAGAAAACUCUCUUCCAAAUCCUGCUGGCAGCUGUGGAUUUUCUGUCUCUCAGUGUGAAUAAUUUUUUCUGCCUGUAUCUGUUCUGUUAGCUAUGAUUUUAGCACCACUCUGAGAUUCCUGGACAUCGGUUCUGCUCAUGUUGGCCUGCUUUGGGUACAAAGAGACUGGCUUACCAGGCAUGGAAACCCAGAUGGAUGGCAGGAAACCAGUAUAAACACAGUCCCUGCCCUUUUGGACAAGUUGGGUGUAACUGUGUUGGCUGUCUUGACUCCAACACAGAGCAAGAGUAAAUCUGCACUUAGCAAUUUGUAAAGAAAGCAGGAGGGAAACCAACUUUUCCCAUGAACUUACAGUGAUAGGAUGAGGGGAAGUGGCUUUAAACUAAAAGAGGGGAAGUUUAGGUUAGAUGUUAGGAAGAAAUUCUGUAUCAGAGAUUGGUGAGGCACUGGCACAGCUGCCCAGAGAAGUUGUAGUGCCCCAUCCCUGGAGGCGUUCAAGGCCAGGUUGGAUGGGGCCCUGGGCAGCUGAGCUGCUGGGGGGCAGCUCUGCCCAUGGCAUGGGGUUGGAAUGGGUAGGCUUUGAGGUCCCUUCCAACCUAAACCAUUGCAUGAUUCUAUGGUCUCUGUUAUUUAACCUUCAUGCAAGAGCCCCAGACAUCCGUGGGCUGUCAAGCAGUGGCUUCUUCUGGAAAUGAAAGACUAGCUCAUACUUGUCCAGUGUGAUCUAGGACCCUCCACACAAUUUAGGUAGAGACCUCUUCACUCAACAAAUGGGACUCUUGCUUCUGACAAGUUUGCAUUUGGUCCCUUCUAAUACUGUUAUUGACUGCCCUUUGAUGUUACUCACAAUAUUUGGAAAGUCAACGUUUGUGUUCCUGCUCCUUUGCUCUUUUUGAAACUGAAAAAUACUUCACUACUCUUGUGUAUGGGAACUGUUGAGUCACGGCCUGAACCACUGAUUGAUCACCUGAAGCAAGGACUGGGUCAGCCAUGGGAGCACAGGUGAAGGCAAUUCAGCCGUGUGACCAGAAGGGGUGGAGCCUGGCCGCACCUCUCCUACACCCCAUUUAAGGGCUGACUGCCACUAGGGAAGGAUCUUUUUCUGGAGAUCCCUCCCUUUUGGAGUUUUCCAUUGUGAGCCUGGAUCCUCAGUUCAGCUGCGACUUUUAUGUGGUGUAAGAAGGAGAACAGAUUUGGAUAUCAAGAGCUGUACCUACAGCAGUGGCGACUAACCUUACUGUGGAAAGAGUAGGACUCCGGAGAGGACAAAAAAAGCUGGAAGGAGGAGGCAUGGAGCAGAAAAUGCUACACUCUGUGAAAUUGCAUCCUGGUAGCACAGAGCCAGUGAUCACCACUCUCUGGCAUAGACUACCAGGAUUCACAGGUGGUGGUAACCCCAUGGCAGAGCCAGAGCUCUUCCUCUCUCCUCCACUUUGCUGCCACAUGAGCUAUGCUUAUCCAUGCCCGUCUGGAGAUGCUAUUCAACAGCCGGCUGAACAUGACCCAGCAGUGUGUCCAGGUGGCCAAGAAGGCCAAUGGCAUCCUGGUUUGUGUCAGAAACAGUGCAGUCAGCAGGAGCAGAGAGGUGAUCAUCCCUCAACACUGGUGAGGCUGCACCUUGAACUACGGCAUUCCCUUUUGGAACCCUCACUACAAGAAAGAAGUAGAGGCCUGUGGAGGAGGGGGAUCUGGCAUGACAACGUUCAUUGUCUCCAUGCAUUAACUGACUUCUCUUCAACAUUACUCUUUCUAGUGGGAGCAAGAGACAAUAAUAUUACAUUAUUGCUGAUAGUAAGGUCUGUGUUGGGAUAUAUGCUUUGUUGACAGGAGCUGAAAUCUUUGAGGUAUUUUCCAUUGGGAGCCCAUUCUCAUCCCUCCUGGUUUGUAUUUUAUAUGCAGCUUUGUUGCCUUGGUCUCUUGGCCAGCUGGUUGAUGUGCAAAGGGGAUUCCUAGAGGAGCACUGUGAGGCUAGCUAAGGCCCUGAGGGGCCCUUACCAUGUCCCUGAGCAUGCACUUGACGCUGGCAUGCUGAGUGAUUUAGGAUCAGGCACUUGCCAUCUUUGCCCCCGUUUUCCUUGCUGUGAAAUGCUGCUGGUGGCACUUAUUUCACAAACUGUGUGAAGCUGUGUGUCUGCCAAGCUCUCUAUGAGGCAGCAGCUGACAUUAAUUAGCUGUGUUGUAAGGCCUAUUACUGAGAAAGGAGAAGGUUGCUCUGUCACUGUGACACAGAGAAUAUUACAUUUUUUCCAUCCAUCUUGAACAGACAGUUUUGUAGGGGAAGACUGAGAAUCAAUUUUGUACUGUGCCCUUCUGUGUUCAGAUACAGAAACCAAGUGUAAAUAUGGGAGUAAUUGACUUUUAUCAUCUGAGUUAAGAAAAGAUUAAAAUACCAUUUGUAUUCUUUGCUCUGGCUCCAUUAACUGACAUUUUACUUCUCUUACUUAAUGGACACAUAAUACACAAAGAACUAAAAAUAGACUAAUAAUUCUCUAUUUUCUUAGUGCUCACACUCUUUCCCCAAUAUUACUUAGUGUUCUCCAAAUAUCUGUGAGUUUCUGUGAGUUAUACAGUAGGGAACAACUUCUGAUUCAGUUGAAGUCAAAUAUACAUUUCCUGUAGACUUUAACAGGUACAGAAGACACCUUAAUGCUUCACCAAUGCUUUUAAAAGAUGAGGAUGCUUCAUUCCUUGGAUGAGAUGUUUGGGGCUCUUCUGACUAUACGUUGAUUCAUUAAAAACUCAGUUUCUGUAAAUGGGAAAUGAGAAAAACAUCCUUGACUCCUCC
RNAcentral lists this long non-coding RNA (5445 nucleotides) under Gallus gallus (chicken). RNAcentral describes it as "lncRNA (ENSGALG00010002249.1)". The record is from RNAcentral. Lineage: Eukaryota; Metazoa; Chordata; Aves; Galliformes; Phasianidae.